UUCCACUGUCGGCCAUCCAGCGAUGCUGGAGGGCUACCUGGCCAAUGCUGGCCUACACAAAGAGGUCCCGGCUCGGAGGAGCUGAAGAAGAUCCUUGCCUUCCUCGUCAGUUUCCUCUUCAGUUCCUAUCCCAACAAAACCUUCUUGCACCUAUUAGCUCCAAAGAGGCUAUGGUGCCCGUGGAGGUCUGGACCUGAGGCCUGUGCUCAUCACGUGGAUAGAAAACACUCUGACACCAUUCUGGAGGUCUGAUGGGACUCUGACCAAAACACAGAUGAAAUAAAACUUGUGGCUGGAGCUUUUAAAAUUACUUUUUCACCUCAUAGAUUAAUGCUCAUGAUUGCAUGUUAGCAAGACAGCAUCUCCCCAAGGUGAAACUCUCAGGAGACAUUUACUCUUAAACUGUAAUCUGGUUGAGACUACUUGAGGAGAUCUUAGUAGCGAGUAUGUGGAUUUAGUCUCUUCACCAACAGCAGACAGACCCAUGCCAAGAAAGCAGACAUGUUCUCAAAGAAAGCCGAGAGCAGAGAUUGGAAAAAGCUAAAAAGAAAAAGCUGCAGCUUCAGACGACUAUCUGCCUAUGUUGACUGUGACCUCAGAGGCCAACUGGACCACACAGCUGCAGCAGGAGUGAGGGAGAGGAGUCUUCAUCCAGCUUCAAAGAAAACAUCCAGUUAGAAACCCUGCAGCAACCCGACCCAAAACUGUGUCUUCUUGUUGGCCUCAACGUUGAAGUGUCAAACGUCCAACAUCUGGAAAGGAAACCACGCCAGUGUACUGUGAUGUUUCACCAACAUGUGGCAGACGCUGGUCCUGCCUUUCAUGCUGACAUCAGCAGAGAGCCCCGCCUACCUCAAAGCCUCCCCUGUCAUGUAUUGAUCAGGAUGAUUAUGAAGAUGAGCGAGUGCAAAUAAGACUGUAAAAGUCCACGAGCAGAAUGUUUGGAUGCUUUCUGAUGAUUCAUGAAUAUCAUGAGAGUGUUUGUGUGUUUUGUCUUUUCUUU
Molecule: non-coding RNA, 1003 nt
Organism: Maylandia zebra (zebra mbuna)
Lineage: Eukaryota; Metazoa; Chordata; Actinopteri; Cichliformes; Cichlidae
Source: RefSeq, a predicted model, not a curated record